This 270-nucleotide unclassified non-coding RNA is filed under the name Hevea brasiliensis (rubber tree). The record is from RNAcentral. Lineage: Eukaryota; Viridiplantae; Streptophyta; Magnoliopsida; Malpighiales; Euphorbiaceae.
GAAGUCUUUAAAAGUCUCUGCUAUACAUCUCUUGUAUGAUUGCUGGGGCUUAAAUAUGGUUGCAUGUGGCAACUUUGACUUUUUCCAAUACUCUUCAGAAGGAGAGCCACAUAGUUUAAAUAUCUUGUGCAAUUGCUCCACCUCAGUGCGACCAGGCAUGAUUGGCUUCCCGGCCAAUAGCUCAGCAAGAAUGCAACCAGCACUCCAGAGGUCAACACCCACACCAUAGUCAGUAGCCCCAAGGAGCAGCUCUGGGGGUCGAUACCAUAA